GGAAUCCUUCACAUUUAUCUGUGUAAUAAAAGUUUUAACUUUAAUUCAUCAGAUUUCCCUAAUAUCAUAUACUUUUUUCCACUUAUUGUACCAUAAAUACCCCCAAAAAAGUCAGCGAAUUAAAAUUUGAGAUACCACAUAACAAUAAAGAGAGAGAGAGAGAAAAAAAAAGCAUAGUUUUCCAACGAAAUAUCUUAACCCAUAAAGCAAUAAAAAUCAGAAAAAAAAAAUCGUCAGUAGUUUAAGCCGCCAUAAAAUUCAUAUCCAGCUAUAGGUAAAAAUCUCAUAAUAAUCUCACGAAUUUGUUGUUGUCUGUAUUAGUAUAUAAGAGCGACUCAGACCGACAGCGGGUCCAGUGUUGAGUUAGUGAGUGCGAGGAAAAGAGCGUUUGUCGAAUAUUUGAAAAUACUUCGAAAGAUGAGUGCGUGUAACUGAGUAAAUAAACAAUCUCCAAGAAAUGCAAGGACACAAAGCAAAAUAAAAAGGAAAGAGAGAGAAAACGUGGCAAAGAAAAA
This is a long non-coding RNA of Penaeus monodon (black tiger shrimp), 515 nucleotides long. RefSeq lists it as uncharacterized. The transcript has 2 exons. The record is from RefSeq and is a predicted model, not a curated record. Lineage: Eukaryota; Metazoa; Arthropoda; Malacostraca; Decapoda; Penaeidae.